This 77-nucleotide transfer RNA is filed under the name Desulfotalea psychrophila. RNAcentral's name for it is "tRNA-His". It matches the Rfam family "tRNA". Rfam says of the family: Transfer RNA (tRNA) molecules are approximately 80 nucleotides in length. Lineage: Bacteria; Pseudomonadati; Thermodesulfobacteriota; Desulfobulbia; Desulfobulbales; Desulfocapsaceae. RNAcentral also lists the same sequence under 1 other name. The record is from RNAcentral.
GUGGGUGUAGCUCAGCUGGUGGUAGCACCUGGUUGUGACCCAGGAGGUCGUGGGUUCAAGUCCCAUCACUCACCCCA